This 74-nucleotide transfer RNA is filed under the name Staphylococcus aureus. RNAcentral describes it as "tRNA-Cys(gca)". It matches the Rfam family "tRNA". From Rfam's summary of the family: Transfer RNA (tRNA) molecules are approximately 80 nucleotides in length. Their secondary structure includes four short double-helical elements and three loops (D, anti-codon, and T loops). Lineage: Bacteria; Bacillati; Bacillota; Bacilli; Caryophanales; Staphylococcaceae. The record is from RNAcentral.
GGCGGCAUAGCCAAGUGGGAAGGCAGAGGUCUGCAAAACCUUUAUCACCGGUUCAAAUCCGGUUGCCGCCUCCA